This 31-nucleotide non-coding RNA is filed under the name Mus musculus (house mouse). The record is from RNAcentral. Lineage: Eukaryota; Metazoa; Chordata; Mammalia; Rodentia; Muridae.
UGUAGAUGAAAUUAGGACACUUCUUGCCUAU